AGAGUUUGAUCCUGGCUCAGAUUGAACGCUGGCGGCAUGCUUUACACAUGCAAGUCGAACGGCAGCGCGGGGCAACCUGGCGGCGAGUGGCGAACGGGUGAGUAAUAUAUCGGAACGUACCCAAGAGUGGGGGAUAACGUAGCGAAAGUUACGCUAAUACCGCAUACGAUCUAAGGAUGAAAGCAGGGGAUCUUCGGACCUUGUGCUCCUGGAGCGGCCGAUAUCUGAUUAGCUAGUUGGUGAGGUAAAGGCUCACCAAGGCCACGAUCAGUAGCUGGUCUGAGAGGACGACCAGCCACACUGGAACUGAGACACGGUCCAGACUCCUACGGGAGGCAGCAGUGGGGAAUUUUGGACAAUGGGCGAAAGCCUGAUCCAGCAAUGCCGCGUGAGUGAAGAAGGCCUUCGGGUUGUAAAGCUCUUUUGUCAGGGAAGAAACGGUGAGGGCUAAUAUCCCUCGCUAAUGACGGUACCUGAAGAAUAAGCACCGGCUAACUACGUGCCAGCAGCCGCGGUAAUACGUAGGGUGCAAGCGUUAUCCGGAAUCACUGGGCGUAAAGGGUGCGUAGGUGGCUCAUCAAGCCAGAGGUGAAAGGCAUUGGCUCAACCAAUGUAAGCCUUUGGAACUGACGAGCUUGAGUGCAGGAGAGGUAAGUGGAAUUCCUAGUGUAGAGGUGAAAUUCGUAGAUAUUAGGAGGAACACCAGUGGCGAAGGCGACUUACUGGACUGUAACUGACACUGAGGCACGAAAGCGUGGGGAGCGAACAGGAUUAGAUACCCUGGUAGUCC
This 790-nucleotide ribosomal RNA is filed under the name uncultured bacterium. RNAcentral describes it as "bacterial SSU rRNA". It matches the Rfam family "Bacterial small subunit ribosomal RNA", at positions 8 to 796 of the family's 1533-position model. The record is from RNAcentral.